Molecule: long non-coding RNA, 510 nt
Organism: Pteronotus mesoamericanus
Lineage: Eukaryota; Metazoa; Chordata; Mammalia; Chiroptera; Mormoopidae
Exons: 3
Source: RefSeq, a predicted model, not a curated record
UGUUAAUGUGCUUCAGAGACAUGCAUGGGUCCCCCGGCAAAUCAAAAUGUUUUUAAAUGUAUGAUAUGUGUGAAGUUGAUGAAAAUUCAUGACUUUUCCCUGUCAGAGCUGCUUGAGCUUAAAUCAUCAGAGAAAGCAUAACAGCUUGGAGUUUUCGAUGCACAGAGAAGGCUUCAUGAGGUGUUGAGUGGAUCCAUUUGCUCAGUGAUAAAGCAGACGGAACAAAAGAAGAAAUCGAAUCAGAGGUCCUCUGGUUCCCUUUGAGCACUUGCAUCCUGUAAUCAAGGAGAAGGGUGAAGACUGAGGGAGGACUGAGCCUUCAGGGCACCAGAUGGCAACUCUGAUUAAAGGGUACUCUGCUCGUCUGGCUGGGUGUCCUCUUCCCACCCUCCACUGCAGCUGUCUCAUGAGUGCACCCUUCCCCGACACCAAAAGAGGGCCCAUCUAGAUUGCAGGAGCAAAUCCAUCCUUGCCUGUGUCAUCCUCACAGAUGAUAAAAAUAACAUUAAU